Molecule: small RNA, 83 nt
Filed under: Catellicoccus marimammalium
Lineage: Bacteria; Bacillati; Bacillota; Bacilli; Lactobacillales; Enterococcaceae
Also listed under: 1 other name
Description: SAM-III sequence
Rfam family: SAM-III riboswitch aptamer (SMK box)
Source: RNAcentral
AAACGUUACAGCUUCCCGAUAGGAUUUAUCUGUACGGAUAAAGAUGCCUUGUAACCGAUUCAUUAAGGGGGAAUAGAAAAAUG